GGCGAACGCUGGCGGCGUGCUUAACACAUGCAAGUCGAACGGAAAGGCCCUGCUUUUGUGGGGUGCUCGAGUGGCGAACGGGUGAGUAACACGUGAGUAACCUGCCCUUGACUUUGGGAUAACUUCAGGAAACUGGGGCUAAUACCGGAUAGGAGCUCCUGCUGCAUGGUGGGGGUUGGAAAGUUUCGGCGGUUGGGGAUGGACUCGCGGCUUAUCAGCUUGUUGGUGGGGUAGUGGCUUACCAAGGCUUUGACGGGUAGCCGGCCUGAGAGGGUGACCGGCCACAUUGGGACUGAGAUACGGCCCAGACUCCUACGGGAGGCGGCAGUGGGGAAUAUUGCACAAUGGGCGGAAGCCUGAUGCAGCAACGCCGCGUGCGGGAUGACGGCCUUCGGGUUGUAAACCGCUUUCGCCUGUGACGAAGCGUGAGUGACGGUAAUGGGUAAAGAAGCACCGGCUAACUACGUG
Molecule: ribosomal RNA, 468 nt
Filed under: uncultured bacterium
Lineage: Bacteria
Description: partial 16S ribosomal RNA
Rfam family: Bacterial small subunit ribosomal RNA
Source: RNAcentral